CUUGUUAGUUUCUUUUCCUCCGCUUACUGAUAUGCUUAAGUUCAGCGGGUAGUCUCGUCUGAUCCGAGGUCGGAACCUGAGAGGCG
RNAcentral lists this ribosomal RNA (86 nucleotides) under Cultellus attenuatus. RNAcentral describes it as "partial 5.8S ribosomal RNA". The record is from RNAcentral. Lineage: Eukaryota; Metazoa; Mollusca; Bivalvia; Adapedonta; Cultellidae.